AUGAACGCUGGCGGCGUGCCUAAUACAUGCAAGUCGAGCGAACAGACGAGGAGCUUGCUCCUCUGACGUUAGCGGCGGACGGGUGAGUAACACGUGGAUAACCUACCUAUAAGACUGGGAUAACUUCGGGAAACCGGAGCUAAUACCGGAUAAUAUAUUGAACCGCAUGGUUCAAUAGUGAAAGACGGUUUUGCUGUCACUUAUAGAUGGAUCCGCGCCGCAUUAGCUAGUUGGUAAGGUAACGGCUUACCAAGGCAACGAUGCGUAGCCGACCUGAGAGGGCGCGCGCCCCCCCUGGAGUGGCGCCACGCCCCAGCCCCCUCCGGGAGGCGCCAGGGGGGAUUCUUCCGCAAGGGGCGAAGGCAUGACGGAGCACCGCCGCGUGAGUGAGGAGGUUCUUCGGUUCGAAAACCUUUUUUAUUGGGGAAAAACAAAUGUGAAAGUAACUAUGCACGUCUUGACGGUACCUAAUAAGAAAGCCACGCCUAACUCCGUC
RNAcentral lists this ribosomal RNA (496 nucleotides) under uncultured bacterium. Its description in RNAcentral is "partial 16S ribosomal RNA". It matches the Rfam family "Bacterial small subunit ribosomal RNA", at positions 29 to 507 of the family's 1533-position model. The record is from RNAcentral.